UAAGUUAUUAAGGGCGCACGGUGGAUGCCUUGGCACUAGAAGCCGAUGAAGGACGUUACUAACGACGAUAUGCUUUGGGGAGCUGUAAGUAAGCUUUGAUCCAGAGAUUUCCGAAUGGGGAAACCCAGCAUGAGUUAUGUCAUGUUAUCGAUAUGUGAAUACAUAGCAUAUCAGAAGGCACACCCGGAGAACUGAAACAUCUUAGUACCCGGAGGAAGAGAAAGAAAAUUCGAUUCCCUUAGUAGCGGCGAGCGAAAUGGGAAGAGCCCAAACCAACAAGCUUGCUUGUUGGGGUUGUAGGACACUCUAUACGGAGUUACAAAGGACGACAUUAGACGAAUCAUCUGGAAAGAUGAAUCAAAGAGGUAAUAAUCCUGUAGUCGAAAAUGUUGUCUCUCUUGAGUGGAUCCUGAGUACGACGGAGCACGUGAAAUUCCGUCGGAAUCUGGGAGGACCAUCUCCUAAGGCUAAAUACUCUCUAGUGACCGAUAGUGAACCAGUACCGUGAGGGAAAGGUGAAAAGCACCCCGGAAGGGGAGUGAAAUAGAACCUGAAACCGUGUGCUUACAAGUAGUCAGAGCCCGUUAAUGGGUGAUGGCGUGCCUUUUGUAGAAUGAACCGGCGAGUUACGAUUUGAUGCAAGGUUAAGCAGUAAAUGUGGAGCCGUAGCGAAAGCGAGUCUGAAUAGGGCGUUUAGUAUUUGGUCGUAGACCCGAAACCAGGUGAUCUACCCUUGGUCAGGUUGAAGUUCAGGUAACACUGAAUGGAGGACCGAACCGACUUACGUUGAAAAGUGAGCGGAUGAACUGAGGGUAGCGGAGAAAUUCCAAUCGAACCUGGAGAUAGCUGGUUCUCUCCGAAAUAGCUUUAGGGCUAGCCUCAAGUGAUGAUUAUUGGAGGUAGAGCACUGUUUGGACGAGGGGCCCCUCUCGGGUUACCGAAUUCAGACAAACUCCGAAUGCCAAUUAAUUUAACUUGGGAGUCAGAACAUGGGUGAUAAGGUCCGUGUUCGAAAGGGAAACAGCCCAGACCACCAGCUAAGGUCCCAAAAUAUAUGUUAAGUGGAAAAGGAUGUGGCGUUGCCCAGACAACUAGGAUGUUGGCUUAGAAGCAGCCAUCAUUUAAAGAGUGCGUAAUAGCUCACUAGUCGAGUGACACUGCGCCGAAAAUGUACCGGGGCUAAACAUAUUACCGAAGCUGUGGAUUGUCCUUUGGACAAUGGUAGGAGAGCGUUCUAAGGGCGUUGAAGCAUGAUCGUAAGGACAUGUGGAGCGCUUAGAAGUGAGAAUGCCGGUGUGAGUAGCGAAAGACGGGUGAGAAUCCCGUCCACCGAUUGACUAAGGUUUCCAGAGGAAGGCUCGUCCGCUCUGGGUUAGUCGGGUCCUAAGCUGAGGCCGACAGGCGUAGGCGAUGGAUAACAGGUUGAUAUUCCUGUACCACCUAUAAUCGUUUUAAUCGAUGGGGGGACGCAGUAGGAUAGGCGAAGCGUGCGAUUGGAUUGCACGUCUAAGCAGUAAGGCUGAGUAUUAGGCAAAUCCGGUACUCGUUAAGGCUGAGCUGUGAUGGGGAGAAGACAUUGUGUCUUCGAGUCGUUGAUUUCACACUGCCGAGAAAAGCCUCUAGAUAGAAAAUAGGUGCCCGUACCGCAAACCGACACAGGUAGUCAAGAUGAGAAUUCUAAGGUGAGCGAGCGAACUCUCGUUAAGGAACUCGGCAAAAUGACCCCGUAACUUCGGGAGAAGGGGUGCUCUUUAGGGUUAACGCCCAGAAGAGCCGCAGUGAAUAGGCCCAAGCGACUGUUUAUCAAAAACACAGGUCUCUGCUAAACCGUAAGGUGAUGUAUAGGGGCUGACGCCUGCCCGGUGCUGGAAGGUUAAGAGGAGUGGUUAGCUUCUGCGAAGCUACGAAUCGAAGCCCCAGUAAACGGCGGCCGUAACUAUAACGGUCCUAAGGUAGCGAAAUUCCUUGUCGGGUAAGUUCCGACCCGCACGAAAGGCGUAACGAUUUGGGCACUGUCUCAACGAGAGACUCGGUGAAAUCAUAGUACCUGUGAAGAUGCAGGUUACCCGCGACAGGACGGAAAGACCCCGUGGAGCUUUACUGUAGCCUGAUAUUGAAAUUCGGCACAGCUUGUACAGGAUAGGUAGGAGCCUUUGAAACGUGAGCGCUAGCUUACGUGGAGGCGCUGGUGGGAUACUACCCUAGCUGUGUUGGCUUUCUAACCCGCACCACUUAUCGUGGUGGGAGACAGUGUCAGGCGGGCAGUUUGACUGGGGCGGUCGCCUCCUAAAAGGUAACGGAGGCGCUCAAAGGUUCCCUCAGAAUGGUUGGAAAUCAUUCAUAGAGUGUAAAGGCAUAAGGGAGCUUGACUGCGAGACCUACAAGUCGAGCAGGGUCGAAAGACGGACUUAGUGAUCCGGUGGUUCCGCAUGGAAGGGCCAUCGCUCAACGGAUAAAAGCUACCCCGGGGAUAACAGGCUUAUCUCCCCCAAGAGUUCACAUCGACGGGGAGGUUUGGCACCUCGAUGUCGGCUCAUCGCAUCCUGGGGCUGUAGUCGGUCCCAAGGGUUGGGCUGUUCGCCCAUUAAAGCGGUACGCGAGCUGGGUUCAGAACGUCGUGAGACAGUUCGGUCCCUAUCCGUCGUGGGCGUAGGAAAUUUGAGAGGAGCUGUCCUUAGUACGAGAGGACCGGGAUGGACAUACCUCUGGUGUACCAGUUGUCGUGCCAACGGCAUAGCUGGGUAGCUAUGUGUGGACGGGAUAAGUGCUGAAAGCAUCUAAGCAUGAAGCCCCCCUCAAGAUGAGAUUUCCCAACUUCGGUUAUAAGAUCCCUCAAAGAUGAUGAGGUUAAUAGGUUCGAGGUGGAAGCAUGGUGACAUGUGGAGCUGACGAAUACUAAUCGAUCGAAGACUUAAUCA
Molecule: ribosomal RNA, 2918 nt
Filed under: Staphylococcus aureus subsp. aureus CIG1114
Lineage: Bacteria; Bacillati; Bacillota; Bacilli; Caryophanales; Staphylococcaceae
Description: bacterial LSU rRNA
Rfam family: Bacterial large subunit ribosomal RNA
Source: RNAcentral